This 564-nucleotide long non-coding RNA is filed under the name Elaeis guineensis (African oil palm). RNAcentral's name for it is "long non-coding RNA (EGUI_LNC078662)". Lineage: Eukaryota; Viridiplantae; Streptophyta; Magnoliopsida; Arecales; Arecaceae. The record is from RNAcentral.
GACCUGCAAGAAAAGUCUAAACCGGAGUUGGGGGUGCUCCGGCAAGAUCCUCCGACACUCAAGUCAGUACUCUGCUUCAACAGAAAUGGAGUGCUCGAGUGGGAAUUUUAGCAGAGUUUCGAUAUAGAGUUUAGAGCUUAGAGAAGAACGUAUCUGGGGGUCCCUUUUUAUAGACGGAGAGCGUAACUGAUUGACAACGACGUCUGUAACCGCCUGGUAGUGGACCGUUCAGAGCCACGCGGAGUUUGUUACGGAGAGUAGUAGCGUCAGGGGCCGUUCAGGGCCACGUGGAGUUUGUUACGGAGAGUGGAGUGGUGUCCGUUGUCGUAACUUGCCAGAGAGUGGUGGAGACACGUGGAAUCCGUUGCAGAGAGUGGAGUAUGGUAGUGGCCAUUGUCGUGACUUGCCAGAGAAUUCGGAUCUGUCGGCUGAAGCUCGGCUGGGAUGUCGGACGGAGCGGAAUGGCUCUCUGUCUCAUCAAUUCAGGAGAAGCUCGGAUGUUUCUGAGGUUGCUGAUGGGUCUACUAUUGUUGGGUGUCUAGAGCGCUGACACUGCAGGCGGGA